This 464-nucleotide ribosomal RNA is filed under the name Vreelandella stevensii. Its description in RNAcentral is "partial 16S ribosomal RNA". It matches the Rfam family "Bacterial small subunit ribosomal RNA", at positions 338 to 795 of the family's 1533-position model. Lineage: Bacteria; Pseudomonadati; Pseudomonadota; Gammaproteobacteria; Oceanospirillales; Halomonadaceae. The record is from RNAcentral.
CCUACGGGAGGCAGCAGUGGGGAAUAUUGGACAAUGAGGGCAACCCUGAUCCAGCCAUGCCGCGUGUGUGAAGAAGGCCCUCGGGUUGUAAAGCACUUUCAGUGAGGAAGAACGCCUGGUGGUUAAUACCCAUCAGGAAAGACAUCACUCACAGAAGAAGCACCGGCUAACUCCGUGCCAGCAGCCGCGGUAAUACGGAGGGUGCGAGCGUUAAUCGGAAUUACUGGGCGUAAAGCGCGCGUAGGUGGCUUGAUAAGCCGGUUGUGAAAGCCCCGGGCUCAACCUGGGAACGGCAUCCGGAACUGUCAGCUAGAGUGCAGGAGAGGAAGGUAGAAUUCCCGGUGUAGCGGUGAAAUGCGUAGAGAUCGGGAGGAAUACCAGUGGCGAAGGCGGCCUUCUGGACUGACACUGACACUGAGGUGCGAAAGCGUGGGUAGCAAACAGGAUUAGAUACCCCAGUAGUC